AUACCCGGCCGUCGGGGC
Molecule: small nuclear RNA, 18 nt
Filed under: Arabidopsis thaliana (thale cress)
Lineage: Eukaryota; Viridiplantae; Streptophyta; Magnoliopsida; Brassicales; Brassicaceae
Description: snRNA_00073
Source: RNAcentral